Aphidius gifuensis is the source of this 1273-nucleotide long non-coding RNA. RefSeq lists it as uncharacterized. The transcript has 5 exons. Lineage: Eukaryota; Metazoa; Arthropoda; Insecta; Hymenoptera; Braconidae. The record is from RefSeq and is a predicted model, not a curated record.
GUGUGUUGGUGUAAUGUCGUUCAGUGUUGUGACUUUUUACACUUAUUUUUGCAAUAUUAAUUGUUAAAAAAUUAUAAAUUGUUAUUAAAUCGAUUAAUUAAAUUAUUGUGAACAGAUUGUGAUAUAAAUUAUUACUGACUUUUGUGAAUUUUGGCCAAAAUCAAUGGACAUGUCAACGCCUUUUGAGCUGACAAAGGCAAAUAUUAACUUGUUAAAUAAUAAACAAAUGAUAACAAAAAGUAUUGCUCAAACAUCCUAUGUGUAAAUGUGAUUCAUCAACAAUAACUGUCAAACCUGAGACCAAAAAAAAAAUAAUUAAACUGCUUUGUCAACGAAGCCGAAAACAUUUUGGAGUCAAGUGAGUUGGUUUAUCAUUGGAGACAAAACCUUUUUUGAGUACAUUGUAUUAAAUUUAUUCAUGGCAACAGCAUUAGCCUUGCUAAUUUAUGUGAAUUAAAGUUAACAACAGCUUUAAUGAUAAAGAAAAUGAAAAACUGACACGAUUGAGGCUUCUUGUGGGCUAAAAUAUAACACGAAAAAUACUAAGAAAUUGUUGAAAGUGUCAUAUGAUACAAAAAAGGUUGGCUAAAUCGUCUAAUGUGUUAAUGUGAUUUAUCAACAACAAUCGUUAAAACUGGGACCAAAAAAAAUAAUUAAAUUGCUUUGUCAAUGAAGCCAAAAUCAUUUUGGAGUCAAUUCCAUCAAAUUCAUUCAUGGCAAAAGCAUUGGUAUUGCUAAUGUAUGUAAAAUAAAAUAUACAAAAGCUUCAAUGAUAAAGAAAAGAAAGCUACUGCAUUAUUUAAAAUACAACAUGAAAAAUACCAAGAUAAUGGUGUUAAUGUUGAAAAUAUGUACGUCGAAAAUAAUAAUACAAUUGACAUUAUAAAAAGCUGCAAUAUGACUUUAAUAUACUUUGAUUGAGCAACGACACAACUAAAAGAUUUAAUAAUUGUUUAUAAUUAAAUCAAAUGAUAUUUUUAUUCAUUACGAUAAUUAUAAGAUUGAUAAUUAACUUUAAAUAAAUAUAGUAAUUCAUGGAAAUGACAGAUAAAAAAAGUACUUCACGUGAAAUUUGAUAAUUCAAAAAAAUUAUAAUUCUAUGUAUUAUAAUAAAAUAAAAUUUGAAAUAAAAAUUAUUAUUCUUUGUAUUGAAUAAAAAAAUUAACAUUCAAAUGAUAAAGUCUGCCAAUGUUAGUCUACCAUUAUGUUUUCUUUGAGAUUGUUCAAAUUAUUUUUUGGAAAAUAUAAUAAUAAAUAAUUUUAUUGAACCUAA